CCGGACCGGCGCACGGGUGAGUAACGCGUAUGCAACCUGCCCGUUUCUAGCGGGAUAACCCGGAGAAAUCCGGCCUAAUACCGCAUGUGGCCGAGGGGAGGCAUCUUCUUUCGGCCAAAGGAGGCGACUCCGGAGACGGAUGGGCAUGCGUGACAUUAGCUAGUUGGCGGGGUAACGGCCCACCAAGGCGACGAUGUCUAGGGGUUCUGAGAGGAAGGUCCCCCACACUGGUACUGAGACACGGACCAGACUCCUACGGGAGGCAGCAG
Molecule: ribosomal RNA, 269 nt
Filed under: uncultured bacterium
Lineage: Bacteria
Description: partial 16S ribosomal RNA
Rfam family: Bacterial small subunit ribosomal RNA
Source: RNAcentral